CUGUUUUAUGCAGUGUCCACACAAAUUGCUUGGUCGAACUAAAAGAACGGUACGAAAGUGCUAAUUAAUGCUCGUGCAUUGAUUAACGCUUUUUUGCGUUAUGCUCUUUAACAAUCUGGAAAGCUGACUAGUAAAUUCAAUCGAAAGAUUGAUUUUAAAAAAUGUUUUUAUCUUCGGAUAAAAACGAGUUCUCAAAACAACACACAUUCAAGUGUCUUGUAUCGAGUCCGGCGAAAAACCAAUGUUUAAUAUUUUCUUGAUCGGAUUAUUAAGCACAAACCUUGGUUAGUUGAACAUACAAGACCUCUUGGGGUUGUAU
RNAcentral lists this unclassified non-coding RNA (319 nucleotides) under Photobacterium phosphoreum. Its description in RNAcentral is "16S-23S ribosomal RNA intergenic spacer". The record is from RNAcentral. Lineage: Bacteria; Pseudomonadati; Pseudomonadota; Gammaproteobacteria; Vibrionales; Vibrionaceae.